AUUGAACGCUGGCGGCAUGCCUUACACAUGCAAGUCGAACGGCAGCACGGGUGCUUGCACCUGGUGGCGAGUGGCGAACGGGUGAGUAAUACAUCGGAACGUACCUUAUCGUGGGGGAUAACGCAGCGAAAGCUGUGCUAAUACCGCAUACGCCCUGAGGGGGAAAGCGGGGGAUCGCAAGACCUCGCGCGAUUAGAGCGGCCGAUGCCUGAUUAGCUAGUUGGUGGGGUAAAAGCCCACCAAGGCGACGAUCAGUAGCUGGUCUGAGAGGACGAUCAGCCACACGGGGGCUGAGACCCGGCCCGAGAUCCUACGGGGGGCAGCAGUGGGGAAUUUUGGACAAGGGGGGCAACGCUGAUCCAGCCAUGCCGCGUGAGUGAAGAAGGCCUUCGGGUUGUAAAGCUCUUUUGUCAGGGAAGAAACACCGGCUCUAACACAGUCCGGGAAUGACGGUACCUGAAGAAUAAGCACCGGCUAACUACGUGCCAGCAGCCGCCGCAG
RNAcentral lists this ribosomal RNA (501 nucleotides) under uncultured bacterium. Its description in RNAcentral is "partial 16S ribosomal RNA". It matches the Rfam family "Bacterial small subunit ribosomal RNA", at positions 29 to 523 of the family's 1533-position model. The record is from RNAcentral.